Molecule: transfer RNA, 1775 nt
Filed under: Paramuricea clavata
Lineage: Eukaryota; Metazoa; Cnidaria; Anthozoa; Malacalcyonacea; Plexauridae
Source: RNAcentral
UUAACACGUAAUUCAGUUCUCGGACUGCGAUGUGUAAAUUUUUAAUAAACUUUAAUUUUCCUCUCUCUCUUUCUCUCUAAAUACUAGACAAGUAUACCAUUGUACAAAUAUGACUGACUGUGCGAAGAUAUUUUACUACUUAAGGACGAACGACGAUUAACCUUUACUUGGAGUGAUAACUUGUCUAUUCUCACUUGAAAGCAUUGAAUUUCUCAAAUUCCAAUUACUAAUAUUAAAGUUGUUUUUUAUAUAUAUAAACUUUAUUGACAUAUUUUAAUUUGCCUCAAAAGCCAAGGCUUAUCAAGGAGGCUCACAUUAAAGUUCCACGUGAUCACAAUCCUUUUAUCUGAGUGCCCUUCAUCAAACGCAAACGAUGUUAAUAUGAUGUACUUGAUAUUUGUGGUGUUACUCUGAGUGUAUAUCCACACCGGGCGAGCUUAAAAAAUAUGCCCGGCCACGGUGAGAUUCGAACCUACGACCUUUGGAAUACUAGCCCAAUGCUCUUCCAACUGAGCUACGCGGUCAGCGUCCUGACCGCGUAGCUCAGUUGGAAGAGCAUUGGUUCAUUGGAGCAUUUGUUCGAGUAACUGAUAUUUCGGAACAAAAUCUAGUUCCUUCGAUACCAAUGUAUUCUAGUAAUAUGAAUUUUUUUCUGUGUUGGUGUAGUGUACUCAGGGGAAUAUGAUAUUUGUGGUGUUACUCUGAGUGUAUAUCCACACCGGGCGAGCUUAAAAAUGUACUUGCUUGCAAAAUGUACUUGCUUGCAAAAUUGUUUUUUUGUUGCAAUGCAUUUUUUUGGUUGUUUCUUUUUCAGGAUCCAUUCAGUUCAAAGUAUCCUGGUGAUGAGAAAUGGGUUGUAGGUAUGGAAUACCCCGGAUGGGGCCAGUUCCUUGUGGCCCUUGUUAUCCUACCUUCCACCCUGCCUAUUCUCAUCUUCAUAGUUUACAAUUGGCCGAAGAAUUGGAAAACGUCAUUCUACAAGACCUUCUUUAGUGGAAUAAAUAAUUAUCUUCCAGAUCCAAAGGCUGAAGAUUAGUUUUUUGACGCACAGUCUUUAUUAUUUACUAUAGUUAUAUUCGACAAAGCUUGACGCUUAAUUAACGUUAAGCUGUUACUGGACAAAGUCAAGAUAGCAAUUUAACGACAUGAUUCUCUUAAUUGAUAUCAUAAAGUAAUUUAUAACGCAUGUCUCGUACAGUAGAUUGUUAACGUUCAUUAAGAGUUUUACGUUUAGUAUCUAGGUGAAUAUUCACUGGGCCUUAGGCGAAUAAUUGUUUUAGUGCAAAUUUUUAAUGAAUAAAACAAAAUAUCCAAAUAUCAAUUUAAUUAAAAUUCAGAAAUAAAACUGCUUUCGGCCGGUUCACGGUUGGCUGUUUUAGUGUUGCACCAUUGUGUUGCACUGUUUCUUGUACCCACACCGUAUAGGCAUGCAGCCCAAAAAUGCGUGGUGAACAUUUUUAUCCUCGCGCGUGGCACUCUGCCCGGGCGUGUGUCGAGUCUACUUUGUUUAUUAUGAUGAUAGUACAAAGUAGACUUGAUACAGUCUACUUUAGGGUCAUUUCAGGCCACUCAUUUGAAGAGAUUCUUCGGUUUCAGAGGUCACGGAGGAAUGCAUGUAUACCAGAAGCAACAAGAAAGAAGUACAAUACACUAUAGGAAAUGCAUAUAUGACUGCAUUUUACUCUGUGGUAAGCCAUGUACUCUUAGUAGUAUAGAUGACAUAUUUGGACAACAUUACACAAACGAAGUGGGAGUCUGUCCAAGGCUAUUACAAU